Brassica rapa (field mustard) is the source of this 918-nucleotide long non-coding RNA. RefSeq lists it as uncharacterized. Lineage: Eukaryota; Viridiplantae; Streptophyta; Magnoliopsida; Brassicales; Brassicaceae. The record is from RefSeq and is a predicted model, not a curated record.
AAAUCAAAAUAGUUUUUUUUUUGGGGCAAAAUAGGAUUAAAACUAGAUUAGCGUGAAAAAUUAUAACUAACUACAGAUAAUAUUUGGUUAGCCUUUAAUAUAAUUUUGCAAGUAAUGUUUCACACAGGUCGAUGUGUUCUCUUUCGGAAUCGUCUUGUGGGAAAUCCUUACAUUACAGGUGACUAGGUGAGGAACCCUACGCCAAUCUGCAUUACGGGGCAAUAAUCGGAGGCAUUGUGAACAAUACACUGAGACCAACCGUGCCAAGCUACUAUGAUCCAGAAUGGAGGGUUGCUGAUGGAGCAGUGUUGGGCUCCUGACCCAUUUGUUCGACCUUCCUUCCCAGAGAUAGCAAGACGUCUCCGUACCAUGUCCUCUGCGGUACAGACAAAAGCUCACGCCGCCAGCCACCAAAUCCACAAAGUAAUCCAUCAGUUUAUCAUUGCGGCUACAUAAAAAUAAAUGGUUUUUGUAUAUAUAUUUUCUUCUUCUUUCGGAUUCCAGAGUUUGAAGGUGUGAAAAUAUUGUGUUGGUUUGUACAAAAAAAAAAAAAAAACUAAAAGCACAUUAUUUUGUUAUCCAUUGUUUAUUAUUAUUGAGUGUAAGUAAAUUGGUUUUGGUACAAGUACUUGGACUCUUCUGUAGUAAGAGUCAUAUUUUUCUUUUUGAGCAAUUGUAUAAUCUUACUCUCCAUAUACAACAUGAUAGACAACAUUACAUUCAAAAAGGGAUAUACAUACAACACAUGCAAUAUCAUCCGUGCAUUAGUGCAUACACAUAUCUCAUAUCUUAUACAUAGAAGAUCUGACCAACAUUCAGAAGGCUCUCCUGAGGAACAUUGAAGAUAACACUAUGUUCUCUACAAAUCUUCCUCAAAAACGCAUACACAUAAUCAAUAGCUAUCUUCUUGUAGAACCU